This 486-nucleotide ribosomal RNA is filed under the name uncultured bacterium. RNAcentral's name for it is "partial 16S ribosomal RNA". It matches the Rfam family "Bacterial small subunit ribosomal RNA", at positions 28 to 523 of the family's 1533-position model. The record is from RNAcentral.
GACGAACGCUGGCGGCGUGCUUAACACAUGCAAGUCGAACGGUGAAAGCGGAGCUUGCUCCGCUGGAUCAGUGGCGAACGGGUGAGUAACACGUGGGCAACCUGCCCCUCACUUCGGGAUAACCCCGGGAAACCGGGGCUAAUACCGGAUAUGACCUCCUUGGGCAUCCUUGGAGGUGGAAAGUUUUUCGGUGAGAGGAUGGGCCCGCGGCUUGGCAGGUUGUUGGUGAGGUAGUGGCUCACAAAGACGACGACGGGGAGCCGGCCUGAGAGGGCGGGCGGCAAAACUGUAACUGGGACACGGCCCAGACUCCGACGGGAGGCAGAAGUGGGGAAUAUUGCGCAAUGCACGAAUGCCUGACGCAGCAGCGCCGCGUGCGGGAUGACGGCCUUCGGGUUGUAAACCGCUUUCAGCAGGGAAGAAGCCGCAAGGUGACGGUACCUGCAGAAGAAGCACCGGCUAACUACGUGCCAGCCGCCGCGGUAA